RNAcentral lists this transfer-messenger RNA (399 nucleotides) under uncultured Bacteroides sp. It matches the Rfam family "transfer-messenger RNA". From Rfam's summary of the family: Bacterial tmRNA, also known as 10Sa RNA or SsrA, is named for its dual tRNA and mRNA-like properties. Its role is to liberate the mRNA from a stalled ribosome. The record is from RNAcentral. Lineage: Bacteria; Pseudomonadati; Bacteroidota; Bacteroidia; Bacteroidales; Bacteroidaceae.
GGGGUUGACUGGAUUUGACAGCGGGAAGAAAUGGUAGGUAAGCAUGCAGUGCUUCGUUGAUUGGCACUUAAAUCUCAGUCCUCGAAAAUUUAUCUGGCGAAAACAACUACGCUCUCGCUGCGUGAUUGAAGCAUAGUAGAUCGACGCUUAAUCCCGGCACAAGGUGCUGGGACGGGACAUCACUCGGAAGCUGUUGCUCCGAAGCAUUCCGGUCAAGUGGUGCAGCUACAUCGGAGAUAGUUUACGUCGGCCUCGCGGCGUAGAUGAAGUUUUUAGAGGAUAAGGUUGCGGUUGAUGGCUUUGGUUCUGCUGCAGCACGAAAACUUAGGCAAAGAUAAGCAUGUAGAAAACUUAUGAUUUCCUCGUUUGGACGAGGGUUCGAUUCCCUCCAGCUCCACA